RNAcentral lists this long non-coding RNA (226 nucleotides) under Capsicum annuum. Its description in RNAcentral is "long non-coding RNA (CANN_LNC008150)". The record is from RNAcentral. Lineage: Eukaryota; Viridiplantae; Streptophyta; Magnoliopsida; Solanales; Solanaceae.
CUACAUUUGAGAAGUUCAUAUACCAUUUUCAUUUGGAAAAGAGCAUUGUUGUCCUUCGAAAAAUCAAGAUAUUUCUCAAGUAGUUGUCCCUGAAAUAAGCAUCCAAUUUUUGUUCUCAAAGUAUUUUUCUUAAGGCUUCGAAAGAUUUUUCCAUGGCUGACUUAACCACGGAAUCACCUGUUAAAUAUGUGGUACCAUUUUACUGCAUUCUCAUGGGAUAAAGAUC